GCCAGACUCCUACGGGAGGCAGCAGUGGGGGAUAUUGCACAAUGGGGGGAACCCUGAUGCAGCGACGCCGCGUGGGUGAAGGAGCGUUUCGGCGCGUAAAGCCCUCUCGGCAGGGAAGAAGGAGGACGGUACCUGACUAAGAAGCCCCGGCUAACUACGUGCCAGCAGCCGCGGUAAUACGUAGGGGGCAAGCGUUAUCCGGAUUUACUGGGUGUAAAGGGGGCGCAGACGGCAGCGCAAGCCAGGAGUGAAAGCCCGGGGCCCAACCCCGGGACUGCUCUUGGAACUGCGCGGCUGGAGUGCAGGAGGGGCAGGCGGAAUUCCUGGUGUAGCGGUGAAAUGCGUAGAUAUCAGGAGGAACACCGGUGGCGAAGGCGGCCUGCUAGACUGCGACUGACGUUGAGGCCCGAAAGCGUGGGGAGCAAACAGGAUUAGAUACCCCAGUA
RNAcentral lists this ribosomal RNA (446 nucleotides) under uncultured bacterium. RNAcentral describes it as "partial 16S ribosomal RNA". It matches the Rfam family "Bacterial small subunit ribosomal RNA", at positions 330 to 792 of the family's 1533-position model. The record is from RNAcentral.